Molecule: ribosomal RNA, 253 nt
Filed under: uncultured bacterium
Lineage: Bacteria
Description: partial 16S ribosomal RNA
Rfam family: Bacterial small subunit ribosomal RNA
Source: RNAcentral
UACGUAGGGUGCAAGCGUUAAUCGGAAUUACUGGGCGUAAAGCGUACGCAGGCGGCUUUGCAAGACAGGUGUGAAAUCCCCGGGCCUAACCUGGGAACUGCAUCCGAUACUGGAUGGCUUGAAUCCGGGAGAGGGAUGCAGAAUUCCAGGUGUAGCGGUGAAAUGCGUAGAUAUCUGGAGGAAUACCGGUGGCGAAGGCGGCAUCCUGGACCGGCAUUGACGCUGAUGAGCGAAAGCUAGGGGAGCAAACGGG